Molecule: ribosomal RNA, 253 nt
Filed under: uncultured bacterium
Lineage: Bacteria
Description: partial 16S ribosomal RNA
Rfam family: Bacterial small subunit ribosomal RNA
Source: RNAcentral
GACGAACCUUGCGAACGUUGUUCGGAAUCACUGGGCUUAAAGGGCGCGUAGGCGGUCUCCCAAGUCCGAGGUGAAAUCUUUCGGCCUAACCGGAAAAGGGCCUUGGAUACUGGGGGACUCGAGGGGGGUAGGGGCAAGCGGAACUUCCGGUGGAGCGGUGAAAUGCGUUGAUAUCGGAAGGAACGCCGGCGGCGAAAGCGGCUUGCUGGACCCCAUCUGACGCUGAGGCGCGAAAGCCAGGGGAGCGAACGGG